This 253-nucleotide ribosomal RNA is filed under the name uncultured bacterium. RNAcentral's name for it is "partial 16S ribosomal RNA". It matches the Rfam family "Bacterial small subunit ribosomal RNA", at positions 524 to 776 of the family's 1533-position model. The record is from RNAcentral.
UACAGAGGUCUCAAGCGUUGUUCGGAUUCAUUGGGCGUAAAGGGUGCGUAGGCGGCGCGGUAAGUCGGGUGUGAAAUCUCGGGGCUUAACUCCGAAACUGCAUUCGAUACUGCCGUGCUUGAGGACUGGAGAGGAGACUGGAAUUUACGGUGUAGCAGUGAAAUUCGUAGAUAUUCGCAAGAACACCAGUGGCGAAGGCGGCUCACUGGCCCGAUACUGACGCUGAGGCACGAAAGCGUGGGGAGCAAACAGG